UACGUAGGGUGCGAGCGUUAAUCGGAAUUACUGGGCGUAAAGUGUGCGCAGGCGGCCGCGCAAGUCGAGUGUGAAAGCCCCGAGCUUAACUUGGGAAUUGCGCUCGAAACUACGUGGCUGGAGUGUGGCAGAGGAAGGUGGAAUUCCAGGUGUAGCGGUGAAAUGCGUAGAGAUCUGGAGGAACACCGGAGGCGAAGGCGAAUCACUGGACCGCUUCUGACGCUGAGGCGCGAAAGCUAGGGGAGCAAACAGG
Molecule: ribosomal RNA, 253 nt
Filed under: uncultured bacterium
Lineage: Bacteria
Description: partial 16S ribosomal RNA
Rfam family: Bacterial small subunit ribosomal RNA
Source: RNAcentral